CUAUUUGCUAGCCUUCUUCGGCUGCCUCUCACUGAACAGACUUGCCAGUGUUUUCCAGCAGCUUACCUGUUAACAGGUUGAGUGGACUCCCAUCGGCCCCCACCACCACCCUGAAAAAGAAAAAAAAAAAGGCUUCAGGCAAAGAAUUGCAGGUGUUCAUAGAAAGCAGCCUUCAAAGUGUACAGGAACAAGAUUGAGGAUCAACAAAGCUACUUGGAAAUAAUGGAUGCUAGAACUCUAAGGAACCCACAGAAGAUCAGUUCUCAAAUCACCAGCCACUGGGGAGCAAAUGAGCCAACCUCAAAAUUGACAAGCAGUUAUGGUGCUAUGUGUCUCCCGUGGGUACUGGACACUGUGUUGUAUGGGGCUCCUC
Molecule: long non-coding RNA, 373 nt
Organism: Homo sapiens (human)
Lineage: Eukaryota; Metazoa; Chordata; Mammalia; Primates; Hominidae
Exons: 3
Source: RefSeq, a predicted model, not a curated record